This 467-nucleotide ribosomal RNA is filed under the name Providencia rettgeri. RNAcentral's name for it is "partial 23S ribosomal RNA". It matches the Rfam family "Bacterial large subunit ribosomal RNA", at positions 1 to 516 of the family's 2925-position model. The record is from RNAcentral. Lineage: Bacteria; Pseudomonadati; Pseudomonadota; Gammaproteobacteria; Enterobacterales; Morganellaceae.
GGUUAAGCGACUAAGCGUACACGGUGGAUGCCUAGGCAAUCAGAGGCGAUGAAGGACGUGCUAAUCUGCGAUAAGCGUCGGUAAGGUGAUAUGAACCGUUACAACCGACGAUUUCCGAAUGGAAACCCAGUGCAAUUCGUUGCACUAUCGUUUGAUGAAUACAUAGUCAAACGAAGCGAACCGGGGAACUGAAACAUCUCAGUACCCCGAGGAAAGAAAUCAACCGAGAUUCCCUAGUAGCGGCGAGCGAACGGGGAGCAGCCCAGAGUCUUAAUCAGCAUUAGCAUCAGGAGAACGGUCUGGAAAGUCCGGCAGUAAAGGGUGAUAGCCCCGUAUCCGAAGGUGUUAGUGUUGUGAACUCGACGAGUAGGGCGGGACACGUGUUAUCCUGUCUGAAUAUGGGGGACCAUCCUCAAGGCUAAAUACUCCUGAUUGACCGAUAGUGAACCAGUACCGUGGGAAAGGCG